RNAcentral lists this unclassified non-coding RNA (252 nucleotides) under uncultured fungus. RNAcentral describes it as "sequence contains ITS1, 5.8S rRNA gene". Lineage: Eukaryota; Fungi. The record is from RNAcentral.
CGAAAUUAAAAAUCUGUAGGGAAUUGGGCCGCUGUAUUGCGAACCAAUUCUCCUCAGACUCACACCCUUGUGAACGUUUCACGUCUUUUGGUGACCCCGCACUUUCUUUGAUCUGGCUGUGAAAAUGGCCAGUAUUGUAGUUACGUGUGCAGCGGAAUGAAGACUUUGGUCUUGUUUCUCUAUGGGUUGCCAGCCUUGACAAAACACCUUUAUUUUAUCUCUACUGAAACCAAAAUGAGAAACAAUGAGAAA